AGGGUUAAUGAAUAGUUAAUUCUUAAAAGAAUUCUUCUGCUAGGAGCAAACCUGGUUGUCAUGUUUUGGUGAUUGGCAGAUUAGCACUUAUGAUCAUGGAAAAAUAUAUAUUAGAUUUAUUCUUUGGCCUUAAACUUUCUUAAGAUAUAAAGUUUGAUCAUCAGAUUAAUACCCAAGCAUUUAUUAUUGAAUGUUAUUGGAGCGCCUGUACUUGUACCAAACUGGAUUAUUAUUUUGCUUUUGGUGGUGAUGGGCAAAUCAACACUGUGCAUUUAUUAUUGACUGUUAUUGGAGCUCCUGUACUUUUUCAAACUGGAUUAUUAUUUUGUUUUUGGUGAUGGGCAGAUCAUUACUAUGGUUUUCAAGGAAAGAUGUCUUAUUUCCAAUUUUAAAGAAUCUUGCUGAAAUCUUAAUGUUUUUCCUUCAACUUUAUUCUGGUUCCAUAUUGUAUCUAAAAUAAAUUAAGAAUGC
Long non-coding RNA from Patella vulgata (common limpet), 471 nucleotides. RefSeq lists it as uncharacterized. The transcript is spliced from 5 exons. The record is from RefSeq and is a predicted model, not a curated record. NCBI's taxonomy places the organism in Eukaryota, Metazoa, Mollusca, Gastropoda, Patellidae.